AAGAUAUAAAUCUAAAGAGGCGUAUAUAGUACAGCCUUUAUUAUGAGUCAUUUCUUCAGACCAAGUUCAAGAUAUAUUUAAUUGAAUUGAGGCAUAUAUAACACAGCCGUUAUGAUGAGUCAUUUCUACAGACAAAGUUGAAGAUAUAAAUCUAAAUAGGCAUACAUAGUACAGCCUUUAUUAUGAGUCAUUUCUUUAGACCCAUGUUCAAGAUAAAAAUCUUUAGAGGCGUACAUACUAUAGCCUUUAUUAUGAGUCAUUUCUACAAACCAAGUUUAAGAUAUAAAACUAAAGAGGCAUAAAUAGUACAACCUUUAUGAUGAGUCUUUUCUUUAGACCCAUGUUCAAGAUAUAUCUUGAACAUGGGUCUUGAGGCGUACAUAGUACAGCCUUUAUUAUGAAUCAUUCCCGCAGACUCAUGUUUAAGAUAUAAAUCUAUAGAGGCGUACAUAGUACAGCCUUUAUUAUGAUUCAUUUGUUAUGACCCAUGUUCAAGAUAUAAAUCUAUAGAGGCGUACAUAGUACAGCCUUUAUUAUGAUUCAUUUCUUUAGACCCGUGUUCAAGAUAUAAAUCUAUAGAGGCGUACAUAACACAGCCUUUGUGAUGAGUGAUUUCUACAGACCCAUGUUCAAGGUAUAAAUCUAUAAGAGGUGUACAUAAUACAGCCUUUAUUAUGAGUCAUUUCCACUGACCCAUGUUCAAGAUAUAAAUCUAUAGAGGCGUACAUAGUACAGCCUUUAUUUUGAGUCAUUUCUACAGACAAAGUUCAAGAUAUAAAUCUAAAGAGGUGUACGUACAUAGUACAGCCUUUAUUAUGAGUCAUUUCUUCAAACCAAGUACAAGAUAUAUUUAAUUGUAUUGAGGCGUACAUAACACAGCCUUUAUGAUGAGUCAUAUCUACAGACAAAGUUCAAGAUAUAAUUCUAAAGAGGCGUACAUAGUACAGCCUUUAUGAUGAGUCAUUUCUACAGACAAAGUUCAAGAUAUAAAUCUAUAGAGGUGUACAUAGUACAGCCUUUAUAAUGAGUCAUUUCUUCAGACCCAUGUUCAAGAUAAAAAUCUAAAGAGGCUUACAUAGUACAGCCUUUAUUUUGAGUCAUUUCUCCAGACCAAGUUCAUGAUAUAUUUUAUUCUAUAGAGGCGUACACAGGUUUAUGAUGAGGUUUUUCUUUAGGCCCAUGUUCCAGAAAUAUUUAAAUCUGUAGAGGUGUACAUAGUACAGCCUUUUUGAGAAGUCAGUUCUUCAGACACAUUUUCAAGAUAUAUUUAAAUCCAUAGAGGCCUACAUUGUUCAACCUUCAUGAUGAGUUAUUUCUAUUCAAGAAAUAUUUAGAUCUAGAGAGUCAUACUUAGUACAGCCUUUAUCAUGAGCCAGUUUUUCAGGCCCAAGUUCAAGAUUUAAAUCUAUAGAGGGGUACACUGUAUUUACUGACUUCAUGAAGAGCCAUUUCUUCAGACCAAGUUCAAGAUAAAAACCAAUGAAGACGAACAUAAUAUAGCCUUUGAUAAGAUUUUUUUCAUAUAUUUUUUUUAUAGAGGCGUACAUAGUGUAGAUCACCAAAUUCCCAUUAAGGAAACUAGGUGAUGGCAGGGAUGUUAUUAAUACUUCUCCCACCAAGUCUACCUCUGUUGUUCCUGAAGAACAGGAUGAGUUCCGCCAAGUUCCUUGUGGAUACUGGAGCUUCUGUGUCAGUUUUCCCUCACCUGCCCCGUUCUCCAUCAGCUCCAGGUUCAGGGAUCCAAUUGAGAACUGCUGACAGUUCCCCUAUGAAUACCUAUGGUUCCUGCCGUUUCUAAGCCAAUCCUGGGAUCAGAUUUCUUACGUCACAAUCAUCUUCUGGUUAUGUUGACUUUUCAACCCUGGAAUAUAUACCUGUUGUUUCAUCUAACUCGUCCAAUAGCAGCUCAGAUCUCUACCCAGCUCUUCUCUCUACCCCUGAGGAGUUCUUUGAUCUCCUGUCCCAGUGCCCAGAUGUAGUAUCCUCCAAGGGUUUCUUUAUCUUAGAGAUCCAAAGCAUCCAGUUUGCCAUACUGUUCCUACCUUGCCUGGCCCACUGGUGUUUGCCAGAGCCUGCUGGCUUGAUGCAGAAAGGCUGGAAUCUGCAAGGAAGGAGUUUGCA
Eurytemora carolleeae is the source of this 2121-nucleotide long non-coding RNA. RefSeq lists it as uncharacterized. NCBI's taxonomy places the organism in Eukaryota, Metazoa, Arthropoda, Copepoda, Calanoida, Temoridae. The record is from RefSeq and is a predicted model, not a curated record. The transcript has 2 exons.